GGAAUCUUCCACAAUGGGCGCGAAGCCUGAUGGAGCAACACCGCGUGAGUGAAGAAGGGUUUCGGCUCGUAAAGCUCUGUUGUUAAAGAAGAACGUGGGUAAGAGUAACUGUUUACCCAGUGACGGUAUUUAACCAGAAAGCCACGGCUAACUACGUGCCAG
RNAcentral lists this ribosomal RNA (162 nucleotides) under uncultured bacterium. RNAcentral's name for it is "partial 16S ribosomal RNA". It matches the Rfam family "Bacterial small subunit ribosomal RNA", at positions 358 to 511 of the family's 1533-position model. The record is from RNAcentral.